CUGAUGCAUCCCUCGUGUAUUUAUAUAUUUAUAUAUAUUUAAAUAUACAGACAGUUUAGAUAAAUGUUAAGUUAAAACAUCUCACAAUAAUUGCACAAAUAACGUCAUGCUUUGGCAAACAAAGGAACAAAAUAAAAUGUUGCAGUUCAAAGAUGUAAACUCACCAGGUAAGAAGACUGAUAACGUAAUUAAUAAAAUAAAAACAUCAAUAACACGACUAUGAAUUAGUCCCGGUACUAAAGUCAGUGUUCAUGAAUUUUCAUAAUAGUACCAACUUCAGGUCAACUUACUGGCUUUUUCCCCAGAACCAUACCACACAGUUUUCAUCAGCAGGUUGAGUCUGCUCAGUUGUCAUGAAGAUCAUCACCAUGACAACUGAGCAAACUCCUUGGAGACGGUGAAAUUUCCUGCUCAACCAGUUUAUCAAAUGUGAAGCUUGUGCAAUACGGACGGUGGCAGUGGACCAAGUGACUGAGACAGAAAUGGAUUUUUAAGUCAAUUUAAGCAACUCAGUUAUCAUCGAUUUUAACAGCAACUCAACAUUAAAAGAAAAGGUUAACAUGAAUUAAAACAGAUCUUUGUCUAUUCACCGUCUGCCUGUAGUUAAUCACAUCUUAAAGCCUCUCAAGAUGAAGAUCCAACCAGUGGUGAAGAUGUUUGAACUCACUGAUCCAGCUUUUGGGGGAACAUGAGGGCAAAAGCCGCAGAUAGCACAUGAUACGUGGUUCCUGAUGCUGAUCCCAUGAGCCAUCAGGCUUCAGCCACUUCAGCAGACAGGCGUGGAGGCACUUGGGGAAGAGUGGAUUUUCAUGGACAUGCACAUUGUGGAUGUGGUUGCCACUGUUUCCUCUCCACUCCUGAUCCAGAUGAUGAUCCAGAUGAUGAUCCAGAUGCGGACCAGUAGACGUGAUCAUCGAUGAUCUUUUGCCACAAUUUGAUCUGCUGUUCUUCUCUUUGGGGAUGACGUCCACCUGCUGAGAAACAGUUUGAAAAUAUGUCAUGUCAGGAUUAGCUGUGCUAUAAAUAAUCAAUAAACUACAUUUUCCUAAUGAGCCUACCAUUAAUAAAUACUGGUCCAGUAUACAACUUAUACAACUGUGAUGUAGAAACUUGAAGUCACCAGUGCACAGACACUGAGAAUGGACUUUACAGUGAAGUAGAAGACAUCUUGUGUCCAGCAGGAAAACUUUAGAAAUGAACAACAUUUGCAUAUUUAUGUACAGGACUUUUCAAUGAAGUAGAUGAGGAGUAGAUAGAAGUCAUUUUUAAGGAUUUCAAUGUGGAAAUUAAACUUUCUUGGCAGAAAAAACAUGUCAGAAACACAUUUUUGUUUCAAACAGACUCUUUGUAUAAAUGUCUUAAUAUGUCUGGAGGGGAUCUUUAUUCCAGACUCCAGAUCAUUCCUUCCUUUUCAGACGAUGCUUCCCACUGUACAAACUACAAGUCAAGAUGUAAUACUCAGACUGUCCCAAGAGUUUCCCUGUUGCAGUGUUUGGACACAACCUUGUCCCUUGUGACAUAACUGCACUGAGACAAUCAAGAAACUAAUCAAUCAUU
Molecule: long non-coding RNA, 1557 nt
Organism: Dicentrarchus labrax (European seabass)
Lineage: Eukaryota; Metazoa; Chordata; Actinopteri; Moronidae
Exons: 2
Source: RefSeq, a predicted model, not a curated record